Molecule: ribosomal RNA, 579 nt
Filed under: uncultured bacterium
Lineage: Bacteria
Description: bacterial SSU rRNA
Rfam family: Bacterial small subunit ribosomal RNA
Source: RNAcentral
CCUACGGGAGGCAGCAGUGAGGAAUAUUGGUCAAUGGAGGCAACUCUGAACCAGCCAUGCCGCGUGAAGGAUGACGGCCCUAUGGGUUGUAAACUGCUUUUAUUUGGGAAUAAACCUCCUUACGUGUAGAUAACUGACGGUACUAUUAGAAUAAGGAUCGGCUAACUCCGUGCCAGCAGCCGCGGUAAUACGGAGGAUCCAAGCGUUAUCCGGAUUCAUUGGGUUUAAAGGGUCCGUAGGCGGAUUUUUAAGUCAGUGGUGAAAGCCGACAGCUCAACUGUCGAACUGCCAUUGAUACUGGAGAUCUUGAGUACAAAUGAAGUAGGCGGAAUGAGUCAUGUAGCGGUGAAAUGCAUAGAUAUGACUCAGAACACCAAUUGCGAAGGCAGCUUACUAACAUGUAACUGACGCUGAGGGACGAAAGCGUGGGGAGCGAACAGGAUUAGAUACCCUGGUAGUCCACGCCGUAAACGAUCAUCACUCGCUGUUGGCGAUAUACAGUCAGCGGCCAAGCGAAAGUAUUAAGUGAUGCACCUGGGGAGUACGCCGGCAACGGUGAAACUCAAAUGAAUUGACGGA